AUUGAACGCUGGCGGCAUGCCUUACACAUGCAAGUCGAACGGCAGCACGGGAGCAAUCCUGGUGGCGAGUGGCGAACGGGUGAGUAAAGUAUCGGAACGUGCCCAGUCGUGGGGGAUAACGUAGCGAAAGUUACGCUAAUACCGCAUACGAUCUAUGGAUGAAAGCGGGGGAUCGCAAGACCUCGCGCGAUUGGAGCGGCCGAUAUCAGAUUAGGUAGUUGGUGGGGUAAAGGCUCACCAAGCCGACGAUCUGUAGCUGGUCUGAGAGGACGACCAGCCACACUGGGACUGAGACACGGCCCAGACUCCUACGGGAGGCAGCAGUGGGGAAUGUUGGACAAUGGGCGAAAGCCUGAUCCAGCCAUGCCGCGUGCAGGAUGAAGGCCUUCGGGUUGUAAACUGCUUUUGUACGGAACGAAAAGGUUUGGCCUAAUAAGCUGAGCUCAUGACGGUGCCGUAAGAAUAAGCACCGGCUAACUACGUGCCAGCCGCCGCGGUAA
RNAcentral lists this ribosomal RNA (500 nucleotides) under uncultured bacterium. Its description in RNAcentral is "partial 16S ribosomal RNA". It matches the Rfam family "Bacterial small subunit ribosomal RNA", at positions 30 to 523 of the family's 1533-position model. The record is from RNAcentral.